CACGGCCCAGACUCCUACGGGAGGCAGCAGUGGGGAAUAUUGGACAAUGGGGGCAACCCUGAUCCAGCCAUGCCGCGUGUGUGAAGAAGGCCUUCGGGUUGUAAAGCACUUUUGUCCGGAAAGAAAUCAUCGGGGCUAAUACCUCUGGUGGAUGACGGUACCGGAAGAAUAAGCACCGGCUAACUACGUGCCAGCAGCCGCGGUAAUACGGAGGGUGCGAGCGUUAAUCGGAAUUACUGGGCGUAAAGCGGGCGCAGACGGUUACUUAAGCAGGAUGUGAAAUCCCCGGGCUCAACCUGGGAACU
Molecule: ribosomal RNA, 305 nt
Filed under: Chaetoceros curvisetus
Lineage: Eukaryota; Bacillariophyta; Thalassiosirophyceae; Chaetocerotales; Chaetocerotaceae
Description: partial Bacterial small subunit ribosomal RNA
Rfam family: Bacterial small subunit ribosomal RNA
Source: RNAcentral